GAGUUUGAUCAUGGCUCAGGACGAACGCUGGCGGCGUGCUUAACACAUGCAAGUCGAGCGGAAAGGCCCUUUUGGGGGUACUCGAGCGGCGAACGGGUGAGUAACACGUGAGUAAUCUGCCCUUCACUCUGGGAUAACUGCCUGAAAGGGUGGCUAAUACCGGAUAUUCUCCUUACAUCGCAUGGUGUGGGGUGGGAAGAUUUUUGGUGGGGAUGUGCUCGCGGCCUAUCAGCUUGUUGGUGGGGUAAUGGCCUACCAAGGCUUUGACGGGUAGCCGGCCUGAGAGGGUGACCGGCCACACUGGGACUGAGACACGGCCCAGACUCCUACGGGAGGCAGCAGUGGGGAAUAUUGGACAAUGGGCGGAAGCCUGAUCCAGCAACGCCGCGUGAGGAUGACGGCCUCGGUU
This 409-nucleotide ribosomal RNA is filed under the name uncultured bacterium. Its description in RNAcentral is "bacterial SSU rRNA". It matches the Rfam family "Bacterial small subunit ribosomal RNA", at positions 9 to 424 of the family's 1533-position model. The record is from RNAcentral.